This 253-nucleotide ribosomal RNA is filed under the name uncultured bacterium. Its description in RNAcentral is "partial 16S ribosomal RNA". It matches the Rfam family "Bacterial small subunit ribosomal RNA", at positions 524 to 776 of the family's 1533-position model. The record is from RNAcentral.
UACGAAGGGGGCGAGCGUUGUUCGGAAUCACUGGGCGUAAAGAGCUCGUAGGUGGUUUGUCGCGUUGUCCGUGAAAACUCACAGCUUAACUGUGGGCGUGCGGGCGAUACGGGCAGACUGGAGUACUGCAGGGGAGACUGGAAUUCCUGGUGUAGCGGUGGAAUGCGCAGAUAUCAGGAGGAACACCGGUGGCGAAGGCGGGUCUCUGGGCAGUAACUGACGCUGAGGAGCGAAAGCGUGGGGAGCGAACAGG